This 501-nucleotide ribosomal RNA is filed under the name uncultured archaeon. RNAcentral's name for it is "bacterial SSU rRNA". It matches the Rfam family "Archaeal small subunit ribosomal RNA", at positions 336 to 837 of the family's 1478-position model. The record is from RNAcentral.
CAGGCGCGAAAACUUUACAAUGCGGGAAACCGUGAUAAGGGGACACCGAGUGCCAGCAACAUUUGCUGGCUGUCCAGGUGUGUAAACUACACCUGUUAGCAAGGGCCGGGCAAGACCGGUGCCAGCCGCCGCGGUAACACCGGCGGCCCGAGUGGUGAUCGUGAUUAUUGGGUCUAAAGGGUCCGUAGCCGGUUUGGUCAGUCCUCCGGGAAAUCUGACGGCUUAACCGUUAGGCUUUCGGGGGAUACUGCCAGGCUUGGAACCGGGAGAGGUAAGAGGUACUACAGGGGUAGGAGUGAAAUCUUGUAAUCCCUGUGGGACCACCUGUGGCGAAGGCGUCUUACCAGAACGGGUUCGACGGUGAGGGACGAAAGCUGGGGGCACGAACCGGAUUAGAUACCCGGGUAGUCCCAGCCGUAAACGAUGCUCGCUAGGUGUCAGGCAUGGCGCGACCGUGUCUGGUGCCGCAGGGAAGCCGUGAAGCGAGCCACCUGGGAAGUU